RNAcentral lists this ribosomal RNA (640 nucleotides) under Tsukamurella tyrosinosolvens. RNAcentral describes it as "bacterial LSU rRNA". It matches the Rfam family "Bacterial large subunit ribosomal RNA", at positions 2289 to 2925 of the family's 2925-position model. The record is from RNAcentral. Lineage: Bacteria; Bacillati; Actinomycetota; Actinomycetes; Mycobacteriales; Tsukamurellaceae.
CCCAAAAUGUAACGGAGGCGCCCAAAGGUUCCCUCAGCCUGGUUGGCAAUCAGGUGUUGAGUGCAAGUGCACAAGGGAGCUUGACUGUGAGACUGACAGGUCGAGCAGGGACGAAAGUCGGGACUAGUGAUCCGGCACCGGCAAGUGGAAGCGGUGUCGCUCAACGGAUAAAAGGUACCCCGGGGAUAACAGGCUGAUCUUCCCCAAGAGUCCAUAUCGACGGGAUGGUUUGGCACCUCGAUGUCGGCUCGUCGCAUCCUGGGGCUGGAGUAGGUCCCAAGGGUUGGGCUGUUCGCCCAUUAAAGCGGCACGCGAGCUGGGUUUAGAACGUCGUGAGACAGUUCGGUCUCUAUCCGCCGCGCGCGUUAGAAACUUGAGGAAGGCUGUCCCUAGUACGAGAGGACCGGGACGGACGAACCUCUGGUGUGCCAGUUGUUCCACCAGGAGCACGGCUGGUUGGCUACGUUCGGAAGGGAUAACCGCUGAAAGCAUCUAAGCGGGAAGCCUGUUCCAAGAUUAGGUUUCUCACCACCUUGAGUGGGUAAGACCCCCUACAGACUAUGGGGUUGAUAGGCCAGAACUGGAAGCGCAGUAAUGCGUGUAGGUGACUGGUACUAAUCGGUCGAGGGCUUACCACACA